Molecule: ribosomal RNA, 796 nt
Filed under: uncultured bacterium
Lineage: Bacteria
Description: bacterial SSU rRNA
Rfam family: Bacterial small subunit ribosomal RNA
Source: RNAcentral
AGAGUUUGAUCCUGGCUCAGGACGAACGCUGGCGGCGUGCUUAACACAUGCAAGUCGAGCGGUAAGGCCCUUUCGGGGGUACACGAGCGGCGAACGGGUGAGUAACACGUGGGUAACCUGCCCUCAGCUCUGGGAUAAGCCCGGGAAACUGGGUCUAAUACCGGAUAUGACCUCGUAUCGCAUGGUGCGGGGUGGAAAGUGUUCAGCGGCUGAGGAUGGGCCCGCGGCCUAUCAGCUUGUUGGUGGGGUGGUGGCCUACCAAGGCGACGACGGGUAGCCGGCCUGAGAGGGCGACCGGCCACACUGGGACUGAGACACGGCCCAGACUCCUACGGGAGGCAGCAGUGGGGAAUAUUGCGCAAUGGGCGAAAGCCUGACGCGAGCGACGCCGCGUGAGGGAUGACGGCCUUCGGGUUGUAAACCUCUUUCAGCUCCGACGAAGCCUUCGGGUGACGGUAGGGGCAGAAGAAGCACCGGCCAACUACGUGCCAGCAGCCGCGGUAAUACGUAGGGUGCAAGCGUAGUCCGGAAUGUUGGGCGUAAAGAGCUCGUAGGCGGUUUGUCGCGUCGGCUGUGAAAACUCUGGGCUCAACUACGAGCUUGCAGUCGAUACGGGCAGACUGGAGUUCGGCAGGGGAGACUGGAUUUCCUGGGUGUAGCGGUGAAAUGCGCAGAUAUCAGGAGGAACAACGGGUGGCGAAGGCGGGGUCUCUGGGGCCGAUACUGACGCCUGAGGAGCGAAAGCGUGGUGUGUGUCUGGAUGAGAUGGCCUGGUAGUCAUGGGCAAGUUCGAGCA